This 4445-nucleotide long non-coding RNA is filed under the name Marmota monax (woodchuck). The record is from RNAcentral. Lineage: Eukaryota; Metazoa; Chordata; Mammalia; Rodentia; Sciuridae.
GAAUUAGUGAAUGUUUUUGUUUCUUGAGUCUGGGGAUGUGCUAUUCCAGCUAUGAUCAUUGUUGACCUAGCUUCCCUGGGCACAGUUGGGCAAUUUAAGCCUAAUCACAAGUACCUUAAAAGGUACUUGUCAGAAGCCAGAACACAGAUUCAGAUUUAAUAAUGACAGUGUUGAAGACAACUUAUCAGUAUCCCACAAUUAAUUUAUUAAUUGUUGUUUACUUCUAAUUUAAUCAUACUGCAUAAUUUCUAUUGCUUGCAAUUUGUUGACUUUUUUGUAUGCGACCUAAUUUAUGGUCAUAUUUUACAACUUUUCCUUGCAUUUUUAAAACCAAUGUGCAUUUUCACAUUUUCUUACAGCACUUAUAAGUAAAUAUAAAUCCUGGUUGUCUUAUGUAGUUAACAUUGCAGUUAACAUUCUUGUACAUGAAUCCUUGUGCACAGUGAGAAUGUUACUCUCACAAUAAGAAGUGUAAUUGCUAGAUCAAUAAUAUGCAGGUGUUUGGUUUUAUUAGAUAUGGCUCUUUGGAACUCUCUGAUUCCCUGCAGUUUUUCUAAGACUUGAUAGAGCCACACAUUUUUGCUGGUCAAUGAAGGGAAAAGUAGUAUUUUAUUGUUAUCUUCUGUCCUGAUUUAUGAAGGAGAUGAGGCAUCAUCUUAUUUCUUGGUUGGGUGUCAUGUUUGUUUCUUGGGUGGGACUUGCCUCAUUCUUCUGUUAUGUUCUAUAGCCAUGCUUGCUGGUGGUCACAGUUUUCCUGUCUUAUUUUUGGCUGGUGGUUUCAUCCUUUGAUCUUUUGGAAAUUAUUAUUCAUAUUCCUGCAUCAUUGUAUAGAUAUUUGAAAUAUGGAUUUUCUUCAUCACUUCUAUGGAUUUGAAACCAAAGGGGAAACCUAGACUAAGUAUUCUGUUUAUUGUUCUUAACUACACUUGUUUGUUUUUUUUAGUCCACCAGUUCAGAUUAUGUAAUUUAUGAAAUAAGUUCCUGUAAGUGAAAUAUUACCAUUCAUAGAUAUAUGCUGUUAUACCUACCAUACAAACCCUAAUCAUAAAUGUCCCAUUUUAGUUGAGAAAUAUGCCUAGCAUGUGUUAGGUCCCCAAAGAACAGUAGAGUUAGGCAUGGUGGUGCAUGCUUGUAUUUCCAGUGACUCAGGAGGCUGAGGCAGGAGUAUUGCAAAUUCAAGGUUAGCCUUAGCAACUUAGCAAGACCUUGUCUGAAAAUAAAAGCUACUGGCGAUGUAUCUCAGUGGUAAAACAUGCCUGGGUUCACUUCCCAGUAUAAAAUAAAAUAAGAGUAGACAAGAUACAGUCCCAAAUUGAGGAAAAAGAGAUAAUCCUUCCUUGUCCUGGAAUUUGCAUUUUUUUAGGUCUUACCCAAUACAACAGUGUUUUUCUGUGUCUCCUUAGAGGCUAAGUAUCUCUCCUAGUCUUAUACAUACAACUUCUUGUCCAAAUGUCAAAUGGAAUUUGAGUUACCAAGAACCACACUGAAUCCUGGUCUGAGAGGUCUAGGUAGACUGCUUCUCUGGCCUGGGAAGUUUUAAGAGAAUACACAAAUAUCUGGGUCUGUACAGUGGUUAACCCAGGACCAAUCAUGUUAUAAAAAGCCAUGUAUAUUGUAAGUGCAAACUAGAAUAAGAUAGGGGGUCUAAAACUUAUUAAAAUCAGCAGCAAAGUAGUAUGAGGAGUUCAGGGAUCCGACAAAAUCAUCAGUUUAAUAAAAUGUCUGAUAAAAAUGGAAACUUGGAAAUGUAGACCAACUCUUACUUUUUACAGUCACAGAGGAAAUGGUAAGGUACUUAGAGUUAAAAAUUGGGAGGGACGUUUAGACAUAGAGGGAAGAAGAAUGAAUAGAAGCAUUAAUUAGAAAUUAAUGAUUACUUGUAUAUUGGGACAGUUUUAUUUACCUUGGCUGCCCUUAUAUCCUGGUAAGAUAGCCUCUGCUUAUUGGCAUAUUUACAAAUUGAGUUCAGAGGUAACAUUUACAAAUGGGUCAUGGUAGCAGAGCGCCAGGGGAAGUUGAAGACUGGGGUUAUGAUCUGGAAGAUUUUGAGUCUCAUGGUUUCAGUCUUUGUAAGAUAAAGAAAUUGGUCUAGAUAUCUAGGGUUCCAUUUAUCUUUAAAAGUAUUUUAUUAAAUAGCUGGCUUUCUCUGGGUAGUCAAAACACAAUAGGAAAAUAGUUCCUGGUAAUACCAUCUUACACUGUACUGUAACUUAUUUAUCUUUGUCUCUCACUAAACCAUUAACUCCUCGAGGAGAGGAAUUUCAUUUUACUGUUUUCAUCUGUUCGUGCUUUUUAUUUCUACCAGCUUGAGCAGUGUUUGAAGAGUAAGCGAAUCCACUAUGGUAGUUUCUGAAAUUCAGUUGAAUAAAUGACUGAAAGAGGGGUGGGGGGAAACAUAACAAAACUUGAGGGAACCCAGGAGAGCAAAUCUGUUUUUAGAAGGGAAAACAAGCCCACUCUAAUUAAGAAGCUUGCACAAUGGCAUGCAGUAUUAGGGCAGAAGUAGAAUUAGAUGCUAAAUCCCCCAGUUCUUUAUCCAGUGUUGUUUAAUGGAUCUUUCUGUCUCUAAUCCCACAGAAACAUACAAAUCACAUUCCAAAUUGCAAGAGUAACAUUUAUGUCCAUGAAAUUAUUCUGAUUAAAUUUCUGUGAUAAGUCUUCUCCCCUUUCUCCCAAAGGAUAAUAAUGUGGCUCUACAAGAUAAAUGAACAGGUUGGGAGUUCAGGAAGCCCAGGCCCUUGUUUUGGCAGUGAGAAUGUAAUGUAAUUAGUGACUGUCUUCUGGGAAAUGUCAGAAGGCACUUGAUUUCUUGCAGGGUAGCAUAAACUGAGGUAGGCUGAGGCAGUUGUUGCCCUUGAAAAUAAAAAGGGCACAGUAAAAUGGAAAGGCAGAGGAACUGUUCAGCCAGGAUCAUGUUAUUCUACAUGGGCAUUUGCACAGGACUUCUUCUGCCUGGAUGACUUUUAUUCUGAGGUGAGCACAAGUAAAUCUGAUUAAAAAGUCAAACAUCUGUUGUGUGUGCACAUUUAGUUCUCUAUGUAUAAUGUAGUCUGUAUUGCCUGAUUUAGCUCUCCCAUGUGCUAUAUACUCUUAAAUGCCUGGCACACAGCAAUCAGAGCAAAGGUUACUGGCACAUUGGGAAUAGAAAAGACAGAAUCAUUAAUAAUCGUUCUGCUAACUGCGGAUUGUAAAAAUUUGCAGGGCAGGCUUUGUGACUAUGCAGUGGAGAAAAAAUAUGCAUCACAAAUCUAUUCAGUUGAUCUUGUACACUUGUCCAUUUCUAGCUAUUAGUAAAACAAUUUUGAAACAUGUCACAGUAAUUUAAUGAAGUUGAUAGGUUACAGUCCCAUCAACCCUUUCUGCAAGGGCAGAGGAUCACAGUCAUGGGUUUCAAUUUAGUUUAUUCAGCCCAUUGCAGUACAGUUUAUGUGUGAAAGCUCUUAUCUGUGCAAAUCUAGCAGUUGUAUUUUUUUAACAGUUUGCUCAAUUUGGGGUCUGCACACAUGAAAACUGAAUAUACUCAGUGUUCACAUAUCAAGAAUGCCAGUUUGCUGUUUUUUGCUUCUUUGUGAAUAUAAUUUGCACUUUAAAGUCUUAAAAGAAAAGGCUAGUAUGUUAAUUUUGUUCUUAUUGUGAUGGCAGAGUGUUUCUCUUACAAUUAGGAUGUAAAAAUGUUGGGAGAGAACAUUGCUUUUAUUGAAAGAAAACAGAAAAACCAGAUGAUCCUCAAAGUAAUAAUUUUUCUUAAAUCUCCAGAAAUGACAACCCUUCCUGAGGAGAUAUAAGACAUUUGGGUAUUUCACUGGAUAGCAGAGCACAAGAGAAACAUAUGACUACCAUAGAAAUGAGUAAGAUGGUAUCAGUUGAAAUUUUAGUGAAAUAAUGAAUUCUUACAGAUUGAAUGUUGGCUUAUACUCAGUUUAGAGUAAGUGGGAACUUCAGAUACAAGGGCAACUUGCACCUACAAGAUCUUUUCUACAGGACUCCAUUGGGCAGGAUAUUUAUAGGAAAAAUUAGGGGCAAACUUGGACAGAAUGGCCAUGAUGGUUAGACAUGAUGUAAAGUCUGCUUCAUCAGAGGCUUAUCUUCUGUGACAUAAAAGUUACUCGGAGGACACAAACCUUGUAGCCCAUAGGACCCAGCAACAGUCUACUGUUUUGAGAUAAAACAAAUAAUAAGAAGCAGACUCAGAAAUGCCUUAGAUAUGGGAACUAUCAGACGUGAACUUUAAAAUCACUAUGAUUAGUAGUUAAAGAAUGUAGUGGGAAAAGUGAACAAUAUCCAUGAACUUAUGGAAAAUAUCAACAGAGAGAUGAAAACCAAAAAUUGUUUUUAAAAUUUGGAUGAAGCCUGGCAUGGUGGUGUGCGCCUGUAAUCCCAGUGAUUUGGGAGGCUGAGGCAGGAGGAUUGCAAGUUUGAGGCAAGUCUCAGCAAUUUAGUGAGGC